GUCUACGGCCACACCACCCUGAACAAGCCCGAAACCGGCUGAUCUCGGAAGCCCAGCAGGGUCAGGCCUGGUUAAUACUUGAAUGGGAGACCACCUAGGAAGACCAGGUGCCGUAGACG
RNAcentral lists this ribosomal RNA (119 nucleotides) under Pteropus alecto (black flying fox). Lineage: Eukaryota; Metazoa; Chordata; Mammalia; Chiroptera; Pteropodidae. The record is from RNAcentral.